This 72-nucleotide transfer RNA is filed under the name Salmo salar (Atlantic salmon). It matches the Rfam family "tRNA". From Rfam's summary of the family: Transfer RNA (tRNA) molecules are approximately 80 nucleotides in length. Lineage: Eukaryota; Metazoa; Chordata; Actinopteri; Salmoniformes; Salmonidae. The record is from Rfam by way of RNAcentral.
UCCCGUGUGGCUCAGUUGGUAGAGCAUGGUGCUUACAAUGUCAGAAUUGUGGGUUCAAUUCCCACAAGGGAC